This 497-nucleotide ribosomal RNA is filed under the name uncultured bacterium. RNAcentral describes it as "partial 16S ribosomal RNA". It matches the Rfam family "Bacterial small subunit ribosomal RNA", at positions 28 to 507 of the family's 1533-position model. The record is from RNAcentral.
GAUGAACGCUGGCGGCGUGCCUAAUACAUGCAAGUCGAGCGAACAGACGAGGAGCUUGCUCCUCUGACGUUAGCGGCGGACGGGUGAGUAACACGUGGAUAACCUACCUAUAAGACUGGGAUAACUUCGGGAAACCGGAGCUAAUACCGGAUAAUAUAUUGAACCGCAUGGUUCAAUAGUGAAAGACGGUUUUGCUGUCACUUAUAGAUGGAUCCGCGCCGCAUUAGCUAGUUGGUAAGGUAACGGCUUACCAAGGCAACGAUGCGUAGCCGACCUGAGAGAGUGAUCGGCCACACUGGAGCUGAGCCACGGUCCCGACUCCUACGGGAGGCAGCAGUAGGGAAUCUUCCGCAAUGGGCGAAAGCUUGACGGAGCAACGCCGCGUGAGUGGUGAAGGUCUUCGGAUCGUAAAACUCUGUUAUUAGGGAAGAACAAAUGUGUAAGUAACUAUGCACGUCUUGACGGUACCUAAUCGGAAAGCCACGGCUAACUACGUG